Molecule: long non-coding RNA, 652 nt
Organism: Salarias fasciatus (jewelled blenny)
Lineage: Eukaryota; Metazoa; Chordata; Actinopteri; Blenniiformes; Blenniidae
Exons: 2
Source: RefSeq, a predicted model, not a curated record
CCCUGUCCAAUUAGACACAUGCAUAAAAGACAUUUAAAAGGCAUAAAAAGACAAUCAGAUUUCAUAAAUGUUUAAAAAAUGAAUCAUUUCUGUAUGUAAAUAAGUUAAAAGAGCCACAAAGUUCAUUCAGUUAAAAAACAUAGAAUUCAUUUGAAAUGUAUUUACAGUGUAAAAUGUAUAAAGUUCAUUUAUGUGUGAAAUUGAAAGAGAUAAAUAAGUUUGGUUUCAUUGUUUCCUUAAAAGAUGUGCACACUAUCUUGAUUUUGUUUCAGUUGUCACUCAUGGUGUUUUUUUGUUGUCACUGGUUUGGUUGUGACUUAAUAGCCAAUCAGAGAUCUUCUUUUGCGUAAGGGGCGGGACAAGUGGCGCACGGUGCUGUAACAGGAAGAAAAAUAGAUCUCUCUCAUGUCAGCCGUGAUCGGCCAGGAAACAUCGUGAUUUGUGGAGAACAUUCAAGUUAUAUGGAAGAUUGACUACCAGUUGAUCCAGAGUGUGACUGUUGUGAUCUGCAUCAGAUGUGGACUGAGAGAGAGCCGGUUGGAGCGUCGACCAGAGGCCCGGCGGAGUUUCUGCUGUUUCUUCAGUGUUAUCUUCAGUUUCGUUUCUUCAAUGAUAUCUUCAGCUUCGUUUCUUCAGUGAUCUGAGUUUGUUU